This 460-nucleotide ribosomal RNA is filed under the name uncultured bacterium. RNAcentral describes it as "partial 16S ribosomal RNA". It matches the Rfam family "Bacterial small subunit ribosomal RNA", at positions 338 to 795 of the family's 1533-position model. The record is from RNAcentral.
CCUACGGGAGGCAGCAGUGAGGAAUAUUGGUCAAUGGGCGGAAGCCUGAACCAGCCAAGUAGCGUGCAGGAUGACGGCCCUACGGGUUGUAAACUGCUUUUGUACGGGAAUAACGCGCCUUACGUGUAGGGCUUUGCAUGUACCGCAUGAAUAAGGACCGGCUAAUUCCGUGCCAGCAGCCGCGGUAAUACGGAAGGUCCGGGCGUUAUCCGGAUUUAUUGGGGUUAAAGGGAGCGUAGGCCGCAUGUCAAGCGUGCUGUGAAAUUUCCGGGCUCAACCCGGGCCGUGCAGCGCGAACUGGCGGGCUUGAGUCCGCGGAAGGCAGGCGGAAGUCGUCGUGUAGCGGUGAAAUGCUUAGAUAUGACGAAGAACCCCGAUUGCGAAGGCAGCUUGCUGCAGCGGAACUGACGCUGAUGCUCGAAAGCGCGGGUAUCGAACAGGAUUAGAUACCCCAGUAGUC